GAAUCUUGCGCAAUGGGCGAAAGCCUGACGCAGCCAUGCCGCGUGAAUGAUGAAGGUCUUAGGAUUGUAAAAUUCUUUCACCGGGGACGAUAAUGACGGUACCCGGAGCAGAAGCCCCGGCUAACUUCGUGCCAGCAGCCGCGGUAAUACGAAGGGGGCUAGCGCUGCUCGGAAUUACUGGGCGUAAAGGGCGCGUAGGCGGACAUUUAAGUCAGGGGUGAAAUCCCAGAGCUCAACUCUGGAACUGCCUUUGAUACUGGGUGUCUUGAGUGCGAGAGAGGUAUGUGGAACUCCGAGUGUAGAGGUGAAAUUCGUAGAUAUUCGGAAGAACACCAGUGGCGAAGGCGACAUACUGGCUCAUUACUGACGCUGAGGCGCGAAAGCGUGGGGAGCAAACAGG
This 400-nucleotide ribosomal RNA is filed under the name uncultured bacterium. Its description in RNAcentral is "bacterial SSU rRNA". It matches the Rfam family "Bacterial small subunit ribosomal RNA", at positions 359 to 776 of the family's 1533-position model. The record is from RNAcentral.